Long non-coding RNA from Colossoma macropomum (tambaqui), 239 nucleotides. RefSeq lists it as uncharacterized. NCBI's taxonomy places the organism in Eukaryota, Metazoa, Chordata, Actinopteri, Characiformes, Serrasalmidae. The record is from RefSeq and is a predicted model, not a curated record. The transcript is spliced from 3 exons.
GUUCUCCAUGGCAGGAUGAUCCUUGGCACAUUGGCCAUUCUUAACGCCAGGAAUUAGACUGACUUCCAGCAGGUGCUUGAACAGCUGCUGGCGCUAGCUCAGGAUCCUUCAUGUGAAGGAAUUCAGGUGGAGCUGACACAGACUGGGAUUCAGCACUUCUUGGACGUCUUCUGUGAAAUGGUGGUGCUGGGGGUUAUAGGUGGAGCCAGACCUUAGAUCUGUCCAGUAAGACAUCUUCC